GGACAUGCGUAGCGGAAAGGGGGUCUCAUCUCCUCGAGCCCCGCGGCGCCGGCGCGAUCUAGACCGUCUUCGUCCGGCCUCCCUCGCGGAGGUUUCCGGCUCCGAAGAAGGCUAUCGUGUCGGCGGACGACGGGGAAAGGGGGGUGGAUUUCCCUCCUUAGUACGCGGUCGCGGCCGCUCGGAGGUUGUCCGUGAUCGGGAGCUCGGGAACCGAGCCGCCUUCGGCCUCCCUCUCGCGGGGGGGAGGUACGGAGCCGCGGAUCGGGGACGCUCCUCGAAUUCUGACGGACUCUCGAACGGUUCGCCAUAGAAGGGGCCCCUCUUCUCCCUCCCUCCUUCUUGAAGGAGGGAGGGGAGGGGGUGUAAUAAUUGUCGGCCCUUUNNNNNNNNNNNNNNNNNNNNNNNNNNNNCGCGCGCGCGCGCUCCGCUCUUUCCUCCCCUCUUGAAAAAGAGGGGAGGGGGGUAGGGUGCGUCGUCGUCGUUGUCUGUGUCGGGACGAUAGCGACGGUAGUAUAACGGGGCGGUGGUUCGGCGGUAGUAGUAAGGGGGUUCCGUUGGGCCGAUCCGAGCUCCUUCCUAUCAAAUUUAUUUUUAUUUUUUAGGGGGACCGGCGCAGGCCCGGGGCUCGUCGCUACCCUCUCGUUGCCCUUCUCGGGGCUUCGUGACGGGCGGCGGGCACCUCGAGCGUACAUGCUAGUACCCGAAAGAUGGUGAUCUAUGCCUGGCCAGGACGAAGCCAGAGGAAACUCUGGUGGAGGUCC
Molecule: ribosomal RNA, 761 nt
Filed under: Stenasellus virei
Lineage: Eukaryota; Metazoa; Arthropoda; Malacostraca; Isopoda; Stenasellidae
Description: partial 28S ribosomal RNA
Rfam family: Eukaryotic large subunit ribosomal RNA (bases 699-761)
Source: RNAcentral